CAGCCUUUGUUGAUAAACUGAAAGCAGUUAUUGCUUUAUUGUCAUGAGGAUGACUGGUUUCUUCUUCCUCUCUCUGCAGGCUAAGAGAUCACAUUGCAGCAAAGACCAAACUUCCCAUCCUCAUAUUUCCUGAAGGAACGUGUGUCAACAACACCUCUGUCAUGAUGUUCAAAAAGGGAAGCUUUGAAAUCGGAGGAACGAUUUAUCCUGUUGCCAUUAAGUACGACCCUCGAUUCGGAGAUGCUUUCUGGAACAGCAGUAAAUACAACAUGGUCAGCUACCUACUGCGCAUGAUGACCAGCUGGGCCAUAGUGGUCAAUGUGUGGUAUCUUCCUCCUAUGACCAUACAGG
Long non-coding RNA from Cyprinodon variegatus (sheepshead minnow), 351 nucleotides. RefSeq lists it as uncharacterized. The record is from RefSeq and is a predicted model, not a curated record. The transcript has 3 exons. NCBI's taxonomy places the organism in Eukaryota, Metazoa, Chordata, Actinopteri, Cyprinodontiformes, Cyprinodontidae.